This 477-nucleotide ribosomal RNA is filed under the name uncultured bacterium. RNAcentral's name for it is "partial 16S ribosomal RNA". It matches the Rfam family "Bacterial small subunit ribosomal RNA", at positions 30 to 507 of the family's 1533-position model. The record is from RNAcentral.
AUUGAACGCUGGCGGCAUGCCUUACACAUGCAAGUCGAACGGUAGCAGGUUAAGCUGACGAGUGGCGAACGGGUGAGUAAUGUAUCGGAACGUGCCCAGUCGUGGGGGAUAACUGCUCGAAAGAGCAGCUAAUACCGCAUACGACCUGAGGGUGAAAGCGGGGGAUCGCAAGACCUCGCGCGAUUGGAGCGGCCGAUAUCAGAUUAGGUAGUUGGUGAGGUAAAGGCUCACCAAGCCGACGAUCUGUAGCUGGUCUGAGAGGACGACCAGCCACACUGGGACUGAGACACGGCCCAGACUCCUACGGGAGGCAGCAGUGGGGAAUUUUGGACAAUGGGCGCAAGCCUGAUCCAGCCAUGCCGCGUGCGGGAAGAAGGCCUUCGGGUUGUAAACCGCUUUUGUCAGGGAAGAAAAGGUUCUGGCUAAUACCUGGGACUCAUGACGGUACCUGAAGAAUAAGCACCGGCUAACUACGUG